AGCAGCCGCGGUAAUUCCAGCUCCAAUAGCGUAUAUUAAAGUUGUUGCAGUUAAAAAGCUCGUAGUUGAAUUUCGGAAUCUGUCCAUCGGUCGGGCUUUAUUGUCCGUACUGGUGUGGUGGGUUCUUACCUUCUGAAUAACCAGCAUGCCAUUUAUUUGGUGCGUUGGGGAAGCAGGACUAUUACCUUGAAAAAAUUAGAGUGCUCAAAGCAGGCUAGUGCCUGAAUACAUUAGCAUGGAAUAAUAAAAUAGGACGGCAUGGUUCUAUUUUGUUGGUUUCUAGGAUCACCGUAAUGAUUAAUAGGGAUAGUUGGGGGCAUUAGUAUUCAAUUGUCAGAGGUGAAAUUCUUGGAUUUAUUGAAGACUAACUUCUGCGAAAGCAUUUGCCAAGGAUGUUUUCAUUAAUCAAGAACGAAAGUUAGGGGAUCGAAGACGAUCAGAUACCGUCGUAGUCUUAACCAUAAACUAUGCCGACUAGGGAUCGGACGAUGUUAAUUUUUAAUGACUCGUUCGGCGCCUU
This 520-nucleotide ribosomal RNA is filed under the name uncultured Acaulospora. RNAcentral describes it as "SSU rRNA". It matches the Rfam family "Eukaryotic small subunit ribosomal RNA", at positions 569 to 1089 of the family's 1831-position model. Lineage: Eukaryota; Fungi; Glomeromycota; Glomeromycetes; Diversisporales; Acaulosporaceae. The record is from RNAcentral.